AUAUUAGAUCAGAACUUCCCAGGGAGCGGCCCAGGGAUCUGGAUUUCCAGUGCAUGCCCUGCGGUGACCCUCACUCCAGAAAGCUCAGGCCCCACUGAGCUCCAGUGUUCUAUCUCCAGACAUGGAUUACACCCGGGGCUACACAGCGAGACAGCGAACCUGUGCUGGGUCACCAGGUUGAGGGUGGUGGUGAGGUGGCGACACGGAGGCCCAGAGUGAGGAAGUCAUGUAUUCAAGGUGGCAGAGCUGGGAUUUGUAUAUCAUCUCUGUACCUGAGCCCCUAACCUGCAAGUCAUAAUAGGCAACGGAUCAAUGUUAUGAUGCAGUGGAGGCCCUUACCAGAAGCCAACCAGAUGCCAGCACCAUGCUCUUGGAUUUCCCAGUCUCCAGAAUGGUGCAGGUGGAGACGGAACCCUAGACACUGCUCAUCCCAAUCAGGCCCUUUCCAGGCCUGUCCCAUUCCAAUCGGGCAUCAGAUGUGGCAUUGAUCAUCAUCUACUUAACAAACGAGGCUCCCCUUUCAAUGCACUUGGGUCUCCUCUGGGCCAACCUUGGUUCUGAGAUAGCAGGUGCUGAAAUACUGCUGAAUCCUCAAAGCCAGACUAGCCAGUGCCUGGCACCUGAUGGGAAUAUGAUUUCAACGAACAGAAAUGAAGAGACCACCCAGAAAUACAGACCCAGCCUUUCAUUCUCUUAUAUUCCUUAUGUCCAACAUUUAUUGGGCCCUUACCAUGUG
Molecule: long non-coding RNA, 736 nt
Organism: Homo sapiens (human)
Lineage: Eukaryota; Metazoa; Chordata; Mammalia; Primates; Hominidae
Product: long independently transcribed non-coding RNA 1081
Exons: 6
Source: RefSeq, marked validated